GAUGAAGAACGUAGCGAAAUGCGAUACUUGGUGUGAAUUGCAGAAUCCCGUGAACCAUCGAGUCUUUGAACGCAAGUUGCGCCCGAAGCCAUCAGGUUGAGGGCACGUCUGCCUGGGCGUCACAUAUCGUUGCCCAAUGCCUAUUGCAGUGCAAUAGGAAUUUCUAGGGCGAAUGAUGGCUUCCCGUGAGCGUUGUUGCCUCGCGGUUGGUUGAAAAUCGAGUCCUUGGUAGGGUGUGCCAUGGUAGAUGGUGGUCGAGUUAGAACGAUACCGAUCAUGUGCAUGCUCCCCAAAAUAUGGCCUCUAUGACCCACACGCGUCUUUUGACGCUCAUGACGAGACCUCAGGUCAGGCGGGGCUACCCGCUGAAUUUAAGCAUAUCAAUAAGCGGAA
RNAcentral lists this unclassified non-coding RNA (393 nucleotides) under soil metagenome. RNAcentral's name for it is "partial contains 5.8S ribosomal RNA, internal transcribed spacer 2, and large subunit ribosomal RNA". The stretch from base 1 to 122 matches the Rfam family "5.8S ribosomal RNA", at positions 35 to 154 of the family's 154-position model. The record is from RNAcentral.